GGGAGCUCUCCCAUAUGGUCGACCUGCAGGCGGCCGCGAAUUCACUAGUGAUUCGUAUUACCGCGGCUGCUGGCACGGAGUUAGCCGGAGCUUAUUCUCCCGGUACUGUCAUUAUCAUCCCGGGUAAAAGAGCUUUACAACCCUAAGGCCUUCAUCACUCACGCGGCAUUGCUGGAUCAGGCUUUCGCCCAUUGUCCAAUAUUCCCCACUGCUGCCUCCCGUAGGAGUCUGGGCCGUGUCUCAGUCCCAGUGUGGCUGAUCAUCCUCUCAGACCAGCUAAGGAUCGUCGCCUUGGUGCGCCUUUACCACACCAACUAGCUAAUCCUACGCGGGCUCAUCCCUCGGCGAUAAAUCUUUGGACUUACGUCGUCAUCCGGUAUUAGCAGUCAUUUCUAACUGUUAUUCCGAACCAAGGGGCAGAUUCCCACGUGUUACUCACCCGUCUGCCACUAAUUUAUUUAAAGCAAGCUCUAAAUAAAUCCGUUCGACUUGCAUGUGUUAAGCAUACCGAAAGCGUUCGUUCUGAGCCAGGAUCAAACUCUAAUCGAAUUCCCGCGGCCG
RNAcentral lists this ribosomal RNA (561 nucleotides) under uncultured Alphaproteobacteria bacterium. RNAcentral describes it as "partial 16S ribosomal RNA". The record is from RNAcentral. Lineage: Bacteria; Pseudomonadati; Pseudomonadota; Alphaproteobacteria.